This is a long non-coding RNA of Helianthus annuus (common sunflower), 417 nucleotides long. RefSeq lists it as uncharacterized. The transcript is spliced from 4 exons. NCBI's taxonomy places the organism in Eukaryota, Viridiplantae, Streptophyta, Magnoliopsida, Asterales, Asteraceae. The record is from RefSeq and is a predicted model, not a curated record.
UCUCUCCUCUCUCUCUCUCUCUCUCUCUCUCUCUCUCGGCGACUCAAGAAACCCAUGCCAGAUCUAUCACCAGAUCCGUUUCAUGAGCAGAUCAUUGAUGAUUCCACCGCCUAUUCCCCUCCGCCUUGUUACGUUGCUUCAAUCGCGGCUUCUCCUUCAUUCCAGGCAAUCUAGGGUUUUGUAAGUGGAGAUUCUGGCGAUAUAGGGCUUAAACAAGCUAGGGUUUUGAUGUCGAAGGCACCAAGGGAUCCACAGAUUUGAACAAGGGAUCCACAGAUUUGCUGGAGAAUGGCCGGAAUCAGGUGACUGUCUGUCCAUGAAUCUCUCUGGAAUCAUGUUUCAGAUGAAGGAGUCUUUGCAAGGAGAGGGUAUAAUAUCGAGUCACUUGCUGUUGGUCAAAGUUGUAUCACAACAGAG